GGAACAAUUAACUGUAGAUAGGCAGUCUUAAGCGGGUAAUAGUGUUGUGUAUUUUUGGAUUCCGUUGAGUAAGGCCUUAAUCUGUUAAAAUGGUAGGAAUUCUAUUUUUUGUCGGGGUAUUGUGUCAGCAUAUGGCAUUGGAUGCCUGAUAGGUAGCGUUUAAUGGUGCUAAAUUACAAUAUUAAAUUGAGGUGGCAAAAUGAAGUGAAACCUAAAAUGGAUUUCAUAGCAAACUUAACUCGUA
This is a non-coding RNA of Pelobates cultripes (western spadefoot toad), 244 nucleotides long. NCBI's taxonomy places the organism in Eukaryota, Metazoa, Chordata, Amphibia, Anura, Pelobatidae. The record is from the annotation of a GenBank genome assembly.